CAACCUUGCAGGCAAGAAGAGCAUCGAUCCACUUGGAAGCAGUCCGGGCGAUUCCCGGCGAAAGCUGGCCAGGUGCUCGCGCGUUCCCAAGAGCCAGUGCAUGAGAAACGCGCGCCCUCCGAUGGACAGCCGAAGGGCGACAGGCUGGAGCAGCAGCCCGCGGCACGGAGGGAGGCUGCGAAAGGAGGGAACGGAGAAGUUUUCCCGUUGCAGCUUGCACCGCUUGGGAACAAGUCCUGCAGCCUCCUGAACUACACACCCGGGCCCACAAAGACGCUUCCCGCAGUUCCGCUUGGUCUUUCAGAGACGCGGGAAGGGGAGGCCCGGAUCCAGUGGCGCCCUUCCAAAAGACCGGAGGGGGGCACAGCCAGGGCAGGAUAGGAGCAGCCUGCACCCCACCCUCGGGUUGCGUAGGCUGAAGGAAGCCGCCUGAGCCUGAUAAGCGUUUUGCAAUCUGCCUGCUGAGAAAAACGGCGCGGGCGGAGGAUCUGUCCCCAGAUACGUCUGCACGCCUAGAUUUCGGCUUCCAGGGAGAAAGGGGGCGGAGAGGGCUAGGCGGCGCAGCGGGUGCUUUUACCAGCGCGAUCUUUUUCGCCUUUACUUGGAAGAGGGUCCUCCUCGGAUUAAGCGGGGUUUACAGCGAUGGCCUUUCUCCACAUCAUCGUCCUACUGCUGGUGGCUGGGCUGUGCAUGGGCCAGGACUUCCCUUUCAGGGACCCCACAUUGCCUUGGGAGGAGCGGCUGGACGACCUGGUUAACAGGCUGACAUUGGAUGAGAUGAUACUGCAGAUGGCAAGAGGAGGGGCAAAGGGCAACAACCCAGCGCCGCCCAUUAAACGACUGGGCAUUGGGCCCUACAGCUGGAACACGGAGUGCCUGCGUGGAGACGUUGGCGCCCCAGGGUGGGCAACUGCUUUCCCCCAGGCCCUGGGGUUGGCUGCCUCCUUCAGCCCUGAGCUCAUCUACCGCGUGGCCAAUGCCACGGCCACUGAGGUCCGUGCCAAACACAACUACUUCAUCUCCAUUGGUAACUAUGACGACCACACUGGCCUGAGCUGCUUCAGCCCCAUGUUAAACAUUAUGAGGCACCCACUGUGGGGCAGAAACCAGGAGACUUACGGAGAGGAUCCAUUCUUGACCAGGGAGCUGGGUGUGGCUUUUGUGACAGGGCUGCAAGGUGACCACCCCCGCUAUGUCAAGGCCAGCGCUGGCUGCAAGCACUUUUCUGUCCAUGGGGGCCCCGAGAACAUCCCUGAGCCCCGUUAUUCCUUUGAUGCCAAGGUGGAGGAGCGUGACUGGCGCAUGACCUUCCUGCCUCAGUUUGAGGCCUGCGUACGGGCUGGAACUUUCAGCUUCAUGUGCAGCUAUAACAGGAUUAAUGGAAUACCCGCCUGCGCUAACAAGAAGCUGCUAACAGACAUCCUGCGUGGAGAAUGGGGCUUCCAGGGCUAUGUGGUGAGCGAUGAGGGAGCUGUGGAACUGUUAUGGCUUGGUCACAACUAUACCCACAGCUUACUGGAGUCUGCCAUAGCUUCUGUGAAUGCCGGAUGCAACCUGGAAGUUUCAUACGGGAUGGUGAACAAUUCUUUCACAUUUAUAGGCCAGGCUGUUGCCAAAGGCAACAUCUCCUUGGAAACGAUCAGGGGCAGUGUCCGCCCACUUUUCCGCACCCGCUUGCGCCUGGGUGAGUUUGACCCGCCAACCAUGAACCCCUACAAUGCCCUGGGACUGGAGGACGUGCAGACGGAGGCCCACCGCCAGCUGGCUCUUGAAGCUGCCAUUCAGUCCUUAGUCCUGCUAAAAAACCAGCGCGGGAUGCUACCUCUUAAGGCCCCAGAUGUGUUGAGGAAGAACUUUGCAGUGGUUGGGCCCUUUGCCGACAACCCUGGGGUUCUCUUUGGGAACUACGCUCCAGUCCCAGAGCCUCAAUACAUCUAUACACCCAGGAGGGGCCUGGCAACAAUUGCUGCGAAUGUCACCUUUGCCGCCGGAUGUACCUUUCCCAAGUGCAGCACCUAUAUGCCAGCCCAAGUGAAGGCUGCGGUAGAAGCAGCAGACAUCGUGGUUGUGUGCCUGGGUACAGGAACGGAUCUGGAGGCAGAAACCAAAGACCGGAAGGACUUAGCCUUGCCUGGCCACCAGCUGAAACUCCUUCAGGAUGCUGUGGCCUGGGCUGCUGGACGUCCAGUGAUUCUGCUGCUGUUCAACGCAGGCCCGCUUGACGUGAGCUGGGCCAAGGCACAGGACAGUGUGGGAGCGAUCUUAGCCUGUUUCUACCCAGCUCAGGCCACCGGCCUGGCUCUUGCCAAGGUGCUGGUGGGAGCUAAAGGGGCAAAUCCUGCUGGCCGACUCCCUGCUACGUGGCCUGCAGGCAUGCACCAGGUUCCACCAAUGGAGAACUACACGAUGGUUGGACGGACAUACCGCUACUAUGGGGAUGAGGCUCCACUGUACCCCUUUGGCUAUGGGCUCUCGUUUACCACCUUCCAAUACAGCGACCUGGUGCUAGGUGCCAAUGUCGUGCCCAUUUGUGGUAACCUCAGCAUCUCCGCAGUAGUGAAGAACGUGGGCUCCAGGGAUGGCGAAGAGGUGGUGCAGCUCUACCUCCGCUGGGGAGGGGCAUCCGUGCCAGUGCCACGCUGGCAGCUGGUUGGCUUCCACCGUGUUCCAGUGCCUGUGGGACGUACCGUGAAAGUACCCUUCCAGUUAGACUUCAGCCAGAGAGCCAUCUGGGCUGGGGAGUGGCACCUGGAGCCUGGCACUUUCACCCUUUUUGUUGGGGGGCAGCAGCCCUUCCAAGAAACCCGGGCCCCUUCUAACAUCCUGCAAGCUGAUUUUACAGUCUCCGGGAAGGCCUGCCGCACCGUCCAAUGCUAG
Molecule: long non-coding RNA, 2877 nt
Organism: Podarcis muralis (Common wall lizard)
Lineage: Eukaryota; Metazoa; Chordata; Lepidosauria; Squamata; Lacertidae
Source: Ensembl